RNAcentral lists this ribosomal RNA (460 nucleotides) under uncultured bacterium. RNAcentral's name for it is "partial 16S ribosomal RNA". It matches the Rfam family "Bacterial small subunit ribosomal RNA", at positions 338 to 795 of the family's 1533-position model. The record is from RNAcentral.
CCUACGGGUGGCAGCAGUGAGGAAUAUUGGUCAAUGGACGAGAGUCUGAACCAGCCAAGUAGCGUGAAGGAUGACUGCCCUAUGGGUUGUAAACUUCUUUUAUAUGGGAAUAAAACGUUCCACGUGUGGGAUUUUGUAUGUACCAUAUGAAUAAGGAUCGGCUAACUCCGUGCCAGCAGCCGCGGUAAUACGGAGGAUCCGAGCGUUAUCCGGAUUUAUUGGGUUUAAAGGGAGCGUAGGUGGAUUGUUAAGUCAGCUGUGAAAGUUUGCGGCUCAACCGUAAAAUUGCAGUUGAAACUGGCAGUCUUGAGUACAGUAGAGGUGGGCGGAAUUCGUGGUGUAGCGGUGAAAUGCUUAGAUAUCACGAAGAACUCCGAUUGCGAAGGCAGUUCACUGGACUGCAACUGACACUGAGGCUCGAAAGUGUGGGUAUCAAACAGGAUUAGAUACCCUAGUAGUC